Molecule: long non-coding RNA, 258 nt
Filed under: Olea europaea (common olive)
Lineage: Eukaryota; Viridiplantae; Streptophyta; Magnoliopsida; Lamiales; Oleaceae
Description: long non-coding RNA (OEUR_LNC013722)
Source: RNAcentral
GGAGUAGCAACAAUUGGGUGUUGGUAGACGUUGAGUAUGGGCAUUGGCGGGAGGUGGACGAUGAUCGGAUUUAUAGAUUGAACGGCUUUAUGAUGUGGAUCUGUUGAUUUUAUGGGUGCAAGACGAUGAGAAGCAACGGUAGUGUCCAAGAAGAUGAAGUGUUGGCUGCUUCUGUUUAGUUAGCCUAUUUGUUGGGCCAUUGAUGGGCUGACCUUUACUUUGUAGCUAUCCAUUAGGGCUUAAUUUAGAUAUUUUGGG